Molecule: ribosomal RNA, 728 nt
Filed under: Pselaphinae sp. NZAC03012930
Lineage: Eukaryota; Metazoa; Arthropoda; Insecta; Coleoptera; Staphylinidae
Description: eukaryotic LSU rRNA
Rfam family: Eukaryotic large subunit ribosomal RNA
Source: RNAcentral
UACGUGAAACCGUUCAGUGGUAAACCUGAGAAACUCGAAAGAACGAAAGGGGAGAUUCAGCGCGUCUCGUUUCUUGCGAGCGUCUGUUCGAGCGACGAAAGCGCGCGUUCGCGCGCGUUUUUCGCGUCUGCAGUCGCCGUCUCGAUGCGAACGUGUGCACUUCUCCCCGGGUAGGACGUCGCGACCCUUUGGGCGUCGAUCUUAACGGUUCGGUCGGAGACCGAACGUGACGGCUCGCGUCGCCACGUUCGAACGCCGAAUUUGCGAUCGACGCGCUCGAAGGUCCGACUAUGGCGCGGAGCGCGUUCGUUUACGCGUCCGGCCCGUCGCGAGCGUGUGCGGGUUUCGCGCGGUCAUUCGGACUUAGUGCCGAUGCUGCGCCCGUACCGCUUUCGUCGACGGUGCUCUCGGACAGACUCCGGUGUUUGGCGGGCGGGUAAAACCGUUCGGCACGCACGUACGCCGGUCGGCGACGCUUUAGUUUUGGGUAAUUUCAGGACCCGUCUUGAAACACGGACCAAGGAGUCUAGCAUGUGCGCGAGUCAUUGGGAAUUUUGAAACCUAAAGGCGAAAUGAAAGUGAAGGUACGCUCGCGUGCCGAGGGAAGAUGGGCUACGACUAAUAAGUGGUCGCCCCGCACUCCCGGGGCGUAUCGUUCUCAUUAUGAGUUGAGGCGCACCCAGAGCGUACACGCUCGGUAUCGAAAGAUGGUGAACUAUGCCCGGUCA